UAUUUAAUUAAUAUCUUUAAGUCACCAAAUUAAUACUAAUUAAUCUAUGACUUAUAUUAAUUAAAUAACAAUAUUAUUAUUCCUUAUAUUACUCUUAUAAUAUAUUAAUAAUAUUUACUCUCUCAUAAUAAAUCAUCCUAUCAAGUUGCUAUGGUGAAGGCAACUCAAAAGGACCAUGCACAAUCGGGUCAAAUACUUGCCUAAUAUAGUUGCAACCUUAGACACUAUUCCAACAGUCUCCCACUUGGAUAAGUCUAGUAACUAUAUGCACAAGUACAAUUCGAUUUGCAAUCGUAGCUCUCAAAGACGCUGUCAAACUCUGAUCUAAUCAAUCUUGUCCUUUAGAUAAGGGAUCGUACAGUCCUCUGUUAGAUAUCAUGCUGACAAUUCUAUGGAAUGAUUAAUCUAGCAUUUAGGUUUCUCGAUCUCUGAUUUAUUUGACAUAGAANCAAUUAACAAACAACAAACCAUAUAUCUAGGUUUUAAGACAAUAUGAUAUUAUCGUCUUGCGAUCACCCUUUUAUAUAUCAUAUUCCAUAAGGUGAUUCCAGCAAGCGCGGGUUUGUUCCAAACUUCCAAUGCUCAAAACCAGUUCAUAAGCACUCAUGAACGUCGCAACAAUCUUUUGCCAUGUCUAAUACCAUUUAGACAAUCUACGCACCAAUUCACGACAAUCUUCAUUCAUAUCUACUUCCAACAUAUGAAUGAUUGUGGACAAUUUGACAUCUUCAAAUUAUCCCUAUGAUAAUUUACUGAAAGGUAAUUGGUUGUUCAAGUAGUUUUAUACACUCUUACUACUCAAGGGUGUGGGAAAAGUAAAUGAAAGAUGUAAACUAUAACAACAAUACAUAUAUAAGAUUAUAAGUGUAUAUGCAUAGUUUAGUUCAAGAAUGUAAAAUGCUUUUGUAAGACAUUUAAGGGUUUUGAACAAAUAUAAAAGUGACUUGAUUUCAUUUUGAUAAUCAUUUCAUAUGUAAUACAUUUGAUAACAAGGUAUUUUAAAGAUAGAAAACCAUUUCAUGCAUCACAUUUUGUAGUAUGUGAAAUCUGUUGAAUGAAAACACAAUUAUAAAAUACAUAGAGAUGAUUUAAUAACAUGUUGUUUUCUACUUGUAUUCCCUCCCCCCCCCCAUUAAAGCAUUUAAAAUCAUUUAAAACAUUGAUUAGGGGUAUGAACUCACCUGUUGUGGGUGAUACGGAUGAACUGAAGAGGUAGGACUGCUAGGUGUCAAGUGAAGUCAUGAACACACUUACGAUCCUAGUUAACAUAUAAUUUCACAUAUAUGUAACAAAUUAGUCUAUAAACAACUAAUAAACAUGUCAAGACACCCUAGGACAUGUUAAACACCUUUAUCAAGUGUUAUUAGCCUCUAGGAUUGCAUCUAAGUGUUUAUAGGGGAAGCUAUUGCGUGUAGGGUUCAAGGAAAACUCCAACAUGAAGUUCACGGCCCUAAUAACACUACCAAAUGAGUUUACGGCCGUAAACUCAUGGGUUUACGGCCGUGAACUCAUACUUAUUUGACCAUUUGAUGUUUGAUGCUCUAUAAGGCCCUAAUAAGCAUUUUUACUUAAUGGCUUGGUCUAUGGAAGAGUUUAGGGCAUAAUAUAACUCCUUUUAGGAGUUUACGGCCCUGGGACCAUAUUCCCUUGGAGAUUACGGCCGUAAUCUCCCUUGGGAGGAUGUUUAUGGUGUUUUCAAGUCCCUAAAUAAAGUAGGAACUAAACUAGGCUAUUGUACAAGGCUUAAGAAGAGUUUAUGGCACCUUUUGGCACCAUUUUAUGGUGUUCACGGCCCUAGAACCUUUUGGGCCGUGAACACCUUACAUUUGGUGUUCUAAGUGUGUUAGCUAGUCAAUAACUCAUUUAGGUACAUGCCCAAAUUAGUAUCAUGGCUUAAGGCGAAAUUUUUAAAGCAAUAUGGCACUUAAACAUGGAGUUCACGGCCGAAGAACCUCCUUGGCCGUGAACUCUCUUUCACCCCUUGAAUCUUAAUUGUUUUGGUGUCCUAAACAUGCAAUGGUGGGUUCUAGUUUGAGUUCCAUGGCUUUGAGGGACUUUGGGACACCUUUAGCCCUUACAAUGUGAUGAGUUUUGGCCAUAUGAACAUUCCUAUGUGCACAUGCAAACCCUAAUGCUUGGAUCUAGGUUUCUCUAAUUAAACAUGCUUUGAAUCCAAGACUUCUAAUGACUAAUUAGGUAUAACAACAAUACAAAAUCAGAUCUAGAAGUUUACCUUUGAAUUUCUUGUUUUGAUCUUGUUGUCUUCGAGCUCUAGAGUCACAAUUGUCACUCCUCUAAUGGCUUACAAACACCAACUAGCAAGGAGGAUGAUUUAAGAGAGAGGAGAGGGAAGAGAUUCGGACAGUGUUUUCUUUCUUUAGAAGAGAUACUAAUUUCACAUGCCCUGAGGGUCUAUAUAUACUUAUAGGCUCCUAGGGUUUCACCCUUAAACCCUAGUUGGAUAAUCUUUCCUUAAAGCAAUCCACAUCCUUUCCAUGAUAAUGCCUUGGACGAAUUUGAGGCUAUCCCAAGCCCUAGAAUUCGUCCAUCCUCUAUCCAAGAAGGAUUUACAACCCAAAGUGUAACUAUCAAACAAUUGACAGUUUAUACCCUCUUAUUUAAUUAAUCUCUUUAAGUCACCAAAUUAUUACUAAUUAAUCUAUGACUUAUAUUAAUUAAAUAACAAUAUUAUUAUUCCUUAUAUUACUCUUAUAAUAUAUUAAUAAUAUUUACUCUCUCAUAAUAAAUCAUCCUAUCAAGUUGCUAUGGUGAAGGCAACUCAAAAGGACCAUGCACAAUCGGGUCAAAUACUUGCCUAAUAUAGUUGCAACCUUAGACACUAUUCCAACAGUCUCCCACUUGGAUAAGUCUAGUAACUAUAUGCACAAGUACAAUUCGAUUUGCAAUCGUAGCUCUCAAAGACGCUGUCAAACUCUGAUCUAAUCAAUCUUGUCAUUUAGAUAAGGGAUCGUACAGUCCUCUGUUAGAUAUCAUGCUGACAAUUCUAUGGAAUGAUUAAUCUAGCAUUUUGGUUUCUCGAUCUCCAAUUUAUUCGACAUAGAACUUAAUCAAACACAUCAAUUCAGUUCUGACCGAGCCCGGUACAUAAGUCAAAUCAAAUCAUCGAGCGGCCGAGAUAUCGCUUUUACCUUCUUAGGAUAAAAGUUACAGAUAAACUUCGACUUAUAUGCACUUACUUAUUCAUUAAUCAACUAUACACAACAAUGUGUUUUAUAACAUCGAGUUACCAAUGCGUUUUCACAUUAUCAAUGUACAAUCAAUUAACAAACAACAAACCAUAUAUCUAGGUUUUAAGACAAUAUGAUAUUAUCGUCUUGCGAUCACCCUUUUAUAUAUCAUAUUCCAUAAGGUGAUUCCAGCAAGCGCGGGUUUGUUCCAAACUUCCAAUGCUCAAAACCAGUUCAUAAGCACUCAUGAACGUCGCAACAAUCUUUUGCCAUGUCUAAUACCAUUUAGACAAUCUACGCACCAAUUCACGACAAUCUUCAUUCAUAUCUACUUCCAACAUAUGAAUGAUUGUGGACAAUUUGANNN
RNAcentral lists this long non-coding RNA (3555 nucleotides) under Lactuca sativa (garden lettuce). RNAcentral describes it as "long non-coding RNA (LSAT_LNC002662)". Lineage: Eukaryota; Viridiplantae; Streptophyta; Magnoliopsida; Asterales; Asteraceae. The record is from RNAcentral.